UACGGAGGGUGCAAGCGUUAAUCGGAAUUACUGGGCGUAAAGCGUACGUAGGCGGUUCAAUAAGUCGGAUGUGAAAGCCCUGGGCUUAACCUGGGAAUGGCAUUUGAUACUGUUGGACUAGAGUCUAGGAGAGGGAAGUGGAAUUCCCGGUGUAGCGGUGAAAUGCGCAGAUAUCGGGAGGAACACCAGUAGCGAAGGCGGCUCGCUGGGCCGUUCCUGACGCUGAGACGCGAAAGCUAGGGGAGCGAACAGG
Molecule: ribosomal RNA, 253 nt
Filed under: uncultured bacterium
Lineage: Bacteria
Description: partial 16S ribosomal RNA
Rfam family: Bacterial small subunit ribosomal RNA
Source: RNAcentral